CACAGCUCUAGGGUAAUUUUUGCCAGGUGUCAAUCUCACAGCCUCCCUCAUCAAAUCAUUGCUGGACAAAAUGACAAAAAGUUUACUUCUUAUGGCCAAUGUUUUGAAUUGUUUUUCCCUCCUCUUCUGUUCUGUUUGGGCCAAAUACAUUGAGUCCAACACAAUCCAGCCCAGCAAAGCCCAAUCCAUGAAAGAAGAAAGGCUUCACGCCAAACAAAAAACCAGAGAAGCAAGAAUACCUUCCUUGAGCUGUACCUUUCACGUAUUGCAGAUUUUACAGGCUAGAAUCCAAAAACCUCAAUUAGGUUGGAAUCAAUUUCAAAUUUCAAAUUCUCCCUCUCUUCAAUAUCAUAACUCACUUUCUUUCUCAUGGAUUUCAAUUCUUCAGCUCUCUCUCAUCCUCUCCGAUAUCUUCACCACCACCAACACCUUCGCCGCCGUCACUUUCAUCGCCCUCCAUUGGCUUCUUCAAAUAGAAAGAGACUGCUACUCAUGAAUUUGAGGAAAAAGAGAUUUUGUUGAUUUUCAAAGUUGGAAGGCAGACAAACAGGGGUUACACAAUUUAAGAAGAGUUUAAACACUGUGAACUCUGGCGGUGAAGAGUGACAAACAGGGAGUCUUUAAAUAGUCACCAAUAGUAUGAAUUCAAGACACUAAAUUUAAGUUAAUGCCUUAGACUCAAUGAAAUGUGUGGCUGCUGUAAAAAGGAAAGGAGAAGUGCAAGAAGACGAUAUUUACAUUAAGUUUCUCACUUCCUUUUCAUUGAUGAAGAAAGAGGUGAGUGAAGAUCCAUUCAUCUUGCUUCUUGCAAAGGGCGAGUAACGAGAAUGAAGUUGGAAAGUUGCUAUUAACUAUUAUUGAGAGAAUGUAGCAAGGUUAGCAAUGCCAUGAUGAAGGAGUGGCUUGCCAUGUUUUCCCUUAGCAUUCUGAUUUACAAGGUUAGUCCUUCUCUUCACUCCAUUUUUUUUCUUAACUGAACAUGAACCUUAAGUGUCUCAUUCUUAGAAGGCUUUGUUGGUUCACUAUCCCUUUAAAUAUGUCAAGCCAUAACAAUUUGGUUUAUAAUAUAAAUUAGGAAGGUACUUAAUUGAACAUGAACCUUAGAAGUCUCAUUCUUAGAAUUUUAUCUGAUUCAUCCAAAAAAAUUAUUGUGAUAUGAAAAUGUUCAUAUUUCCAUCUUUUGUUGUUGUGUUUAUGGGUCUUUAUUCUUCUCUUAGGAAUACAAUGAAGUAGAAGAGAAUGAGAGAGUGAAUAGUGCUUAGUGAACGAUAGAUCUCAAUAGUCACAUUUUUUUUCUUUAGGUAUUGUUUUCAGUUUAUUAGUUCUUGGUUUCAGUAAAUAAAUCUCAUGUUACUUAAAUGCAUUAGUCACCUAUUGUCUUUUUGUUCUAUUUGGUUUUUAUUUUUGUUUAUGAUUAUAUAUACACACAUGUUCCCUCUUCAAUUCAAAAUUCAAAUUUGUUCAAUUACCUCUUUCCCUUCUAUAUCUCACCGAGUUAAAUAUUGGAUGGCCUAUGUGAGGUUCGAAUUCCUUCUCUUGCAAAAUUUCAGCUCAUUGUGUCUAAUUUAAUGUUUCCUUUUACUUUGUAAAUUUGUAAACCUGAUUUUGUUUCUAAAACUUUUGCGAGGUUCAACAGUUGUUGAUGUCUUUCAAGAUCUAUUGGUUAAAAUGUAUUCAAGCUGAAGGGAAAUAUGGGAAUAGCUUUCAAUAUCAACAAGCUUGAAAUUUAUUAUUUUGUUCAUCUUGACAACGGGACUGCGACCUUAAAGAGUGAUUUUAGGUAACACAUGAAGUAUGAGAUUAAAUACGUCAGGACUUUAUAUCCAAUACCAAGUAAUUAGUGCACAUAAUGUGCCAUUCUCUUGAUAUGGUACCAUUCUCCAACUACAAGGAAACUCUAGAGUUUGUGGAAGAUUAGCUAAAGCCUGAGUGCAACUAGGAUAGAGUUAUCUCAAUUUCUAUUGUAUCGUGUACUAUUAAAAGUAUGUACACUAUCGUGUACUAUUAAAAGUAUGUACACUGCAUUUUUUAUUUGUAUAUUGUCUCAACUUAUAUAUUAAUUACAUAGAGAUUAAGCACAUUCUAUUGGUGUUGUCUUAUUUUUCACCCUUUCCUUUAUAGUGCACGAUUCAAAAGCACCCAAUAAAGUUUAAUCAAUGGAGAGCUU
Trifolium pratense (red clover) is the source of this 2167-nucleotide long non-coding RNA. RefSeq lists it as uncharacterized. Lineage: Eukaryota; Viridiplantae; Streptophyta; Magnoliopsida; Fabales; Fabaceae. The transcript has 9 exons. The record is from RefSeq and is a predicted model, not a curated record.